This 253-nucleotide ribosomal RNA is filed under the name uncultured bacterium. RNAcentral describes it as "partial 16S ribosomal RNA". It matches the Rfam family "Bacterial small subunit ribosomal RNA", at positions 524 to 776 of the family's 1533-position model. The record is from RNAcentral.
UACGUAGGGUGCGAGCGUUAAUCGGAAUUACUGGGCGUAAAGCGUGCGCAGGCGGUUGUGCAAGACAGAUGUGAAAUCCCCGGGCUUAACCUGGGAACUGCAUUUGUGACUGCAUAGCUAGAGUGUGUCAGAGGGGGGUAGAAUUCCACGUGUAGCAGUGAAAUGCGUAGAUAUGUGGAGGAACACCGGUGGCGAAGGCGGCAUCCUGGACCAACACUGACGCUGAGGAGCGAAAGCCAGGGGAGCAAACGGG